ACAAGUGCCUUUCAGGUUUUUCUGCAAGGUCAAAUGUCCUUUUGACUGGCAGCUGGUCUGCUCUGCUUGUAGUUACUCAGGUAACCUCAAGCAUUGCAGAACUGUUUUCUUUUGUCUGGGGAGAAAAAGGCUUGGAGAAGCAUCAGGAAAACGUUUAUGCAGAAAUUUUGAUCGAGGCCAGCAUAAUGGAACAGGGAGGAAGAGACAUUGCUACUGCCAUCUGCAAAACAUCAACAUCUUCUACAUCAUGCUAAAGUCACUCUGAACUCUCAGCGUAUGAUGACUUUCAAAGAAUUUUCAAAGGCAUAUCCUUAUCAUAUGUUAAACACUGAAGUUAAGAGACUGAAUAUGUCUUAUCAUGUAACCAAUUUGUUAGGUGGGCAUCAGUUAAUUUAUGGUGCUUCAUAGCAGCUACAAAUUCAUACUUCAGUUUGUGUGUUCUGGUGGUAGACAAAUGAUGUGUUUACUUUGUAUUAACACUUUAUUUUGUGCACUUCUGUAUUUUACAAUUAAAAACAUUUUUGUAAAGCAAUAAUAGCUUUCAGGUGCUGAGUUUUGAAUAGUACCUUCUGGAUGUAUUUGCACAAGCCAUCUUUUAUAGAGCUCUCCUUUUAUGAAUAUUGGAUGUAGAUCAUGAAUAGAAAUGCUUGGGAAGUGUACUCAUAGCUUCAAGCCUGAAGCUGUUUUCUGUGGAUAAUCUGUAACACUUUUGAGAAGAGUGUGAAAAAUUUCAUGCUACUAAUAUAACCUCAUUUUGAAUAUGUCAUACAUGUCAGACGGGGAUUUUAGUGUAACAGUAAGAGG
Molecule: long non-coding RNA, 804 nt
Organism: Athene cunicularia (burrowing owl)
Lineage: Eukaryota; Metazoa; Chordata; Aves; Strigiformes; Strigidae
Exons: 3
Source: RefSeq, a predicted model, not a curated record